Molecule: ribosomal RNA, 253 nt
Filed under: uncultured bacterium
Lineage: Bacteria
Description: partial 16S ribosomal RNA
Rfam family: Bacterial small subunit ribosomal RNA
Source: RNAcentral
UACAGAGGGUGCGAGCGUUAAUCGGAAUUACUGGGCGUAAAGCGCGCGUAGGCGGUUUUGUAAGUCGGGUGUGAAAUCCCCAAGCUUAACUUGGGAACUGCAUUCGAGACUGCAUAGCUAGAGUAUGGGAGAGGGAAGUGGAAUUUCAGGUGUAGCGGUGAAAUGCGUAGAUAUCUGAAGGAACAUCAGUGGCGAAAGCGACUUCCUGGACCAAUACUGACGCUCAUGUGCGAAAGCGUGGGGAGCAAACAGG